UUAGUCGGUCUCGGAGCAAAGGAAGUGAAGCAUGUUAUUUAAUACGAGAAUACGCGUAAAACCUUACCAGACCUUGCAUAUCUAUACGACCUUUAGCUGCACCAUUAAAUAGUUCUUACUUUAAAAUUUAAAAUUUAUUUUUAAUUAACCAAAGUUAAAGUUGCCCUUAAACUUUUUAUUGUCUUGAAAAAGAUCAAGGACAAAUAAAAAUGAUAAGGCAACUUUGACUUUGGUUAAUUAGUUUAUAAAUUUUAUAUUUUAAAGUAAUAAUAUUUAAUCGGUCGAGCUAAAGCUCUAUAUAUGCAAGUCUGGUAAAGUUUCACUUUUCUAUUAAAACAGGUGUUGCAUGGCUGUCGUCA
RNAcentral lists this ribosomal RNA (359 nucleotides) under Pleurotus euosmus. RNAcentral describes it as "partial small subunit ribosomal RNA". Lineage: Eukaryota; Fungi; Basidiomycota; Agaricomycetes; Agaricales; Pleurotaceae. The record is from RNAcentral.